CAACAGCGUAUAUUAAAGUUGUUGCAGUUAAAAAGCUCGUAGUUGGAUUUCGGGGCAGCCUGGCUGGUCCGCCGCAAGGCGAGUACUGGUCAGCCGCCCUUCCUCUCGAAAGCCCCGACUGCUCUUCGUUGCAGUGGUCGGGUAGUUCGGGACGUUUACUUUGAAAAAAUUAGAGUGUUCAAGGCAGGCCUACGCCUGAAUACAUUAGCAUGGAAUAAUGGAAGAGGACCUCGGUCCUAUUUUGUUGGUUUCCAGGGCCGAAGUAAUGAUUAAGAGGGACAGUUGGGGGCAUUCGUAUUUAAUUGUCAGAGGUGAAAUUCUCGGAUUUAUGAAAGACGAACAACUGCGAAAGCAUUUGCCAAGGAUGUUUUCAUUAA
RNAcentral lists this ribosomal RNA (377 nucleotides) under uncultured eukaryote. RNAcentral's name for it is "partial 18S ribosomal RNA". It matches the Rfam family "Eukaryotic small subunit ribosomal RNA", at positions 592 to 976 of the family's 1831-position model. The record is from RNAcentral.